This 407-nucleotide ribosomal RNA is filed under the name uncultured soil bacterium. RNAcentral describes it as "bacterial SSU rRNA". It matches the Rfam family "Bacterial small subunit ribosomal RNA", at positions 26 to 430 of the family's 1533-position model. The record is from RNAcentral.
AGAUUGAACGCUGGCGGCAGGCCUAACACAUGCAAGUCGAGCGGUAGAGAGGUGCUUGCACCUCUUGAGAGCGGCGGACGGGUGAGUAAUGCCUAGGAAUCUGCCUAGUGGUGGGGGAUAACGUUCGGAAACGGACGCUAAUACCGCAUACGUCCUACGGGAGAAAGCGGGGGACCUUCGGGCCUCGCGCCAUUAGAUGAGCCUAGGUCGGAUUAGCUAGUUGGUGAGGUAAUGGCUCACCAAGGCGACGAUCCGUAACUGGUCUGAGAGGAUGAUCAGUCACACUGGAACUGAGACACGGUCAGACUCCGAGGGAGCAGCAGGUGGGAAUAGUUGGACAAGUGGGGACGAAAGCCUAGACUCCGAGCCAUCGCCGCGUGUGUAGGAAAGGUAACGGUUCUUACGGA